This 368-nucleotide ribosomal RNA is filed under the name uncultured organism. RNAcentral's name for it is "bacterial SSU rRNA". It matches the Rfam family "Bacterial small subunit ribosomal RNA", at positions 526 to 896 of the family's 1533-position model. The record is from RNAcentral.
CGGAGGGUGCAAGCGUUAUCCGGAUUCACUGGGUUUAAAGGGUGCGUAGGUGGGUCUGUAAGUCAGUGGUGAAAUCUCCGAGCUUAACUUGGAAACUGCCAUUGAUACUAUAGAUCUUGAAUAUUGUGGAGGUCAGCGGAAUAUGUCAUGUAGCGGUGAAAUGCUUAGAUAUGACAUAGAACACCAAUUGCGAAGGCAGCUGGCUACACAUAUAUUGACACUGAGGCACGAAAGCGUGGGGAUCAAACAGGAUUAGAUACCCUGGUAGUCCACGCCCUAAACUAUGGAUACUCGACAUUUGCGAUACACUGUAAGUGUCUGAGCGAAAGCAUUAAGUAUCCCACCUGGGAAGUACGAUCGCAAGAUUG